ACAGACGGCGCCACACGGAGUCCAGCAGCACGGUUUGCAUGUGAAGACGUGCUAGCAGCCAACGCUUCAGCCCAGCACCUUUACGUUCCUGCCCUCCCAUAGGACAGAGGUCACUGGGGUCACUGCACGUUUACAGCCACGUAUGGGAAUGCUGCUCCUGUGUGGAUGCUACAGAUCUCUUCUGCUCCGGACUACACCGACUACCCACCACCUUGCAACCAGGCCGAGUUCAUAAACCUCAGAUAUUUACAGUCUGGAUGGACUGUGAGAGAAACCAUAAAUCAUUAACUUCUACUUGUGAUACCAAAGGAAACUUGAGAAUUAAAUGUAACAGUUUGGAAUGUG
Molecule: non-coding RNA, 345 nt
Organism: Electrophorus electricus (electric eel)
Lineage: Eukaryota; Metazoa; Chordata; Actinopteri; Gymnotiformes; Gymnotidae
Source: RefSeq, a predicted model, not a curated record